UGAGGAAUAUUGCACAAUGGGCGAAAGCCUGAUGCAGCGACGCCGCGUGGGUGAAGAAGGUUUUCGGAUCGUAAAACCCUUUUCUGUGUGACGAGAACGGACGGUAGCACAGGAAUAAGUCUCGGCUAACUACGUGCCAGCAGCCGCGGUAAAACGUAGGAGACAAACGUUAUCCGGAGUUACUGGGCGUAAAGGGCGUGCAGGCGGCAGUCUAAGUCUGGCGUGAAAUAUCCCGGCUCAACCGGGGGAAGGUCGUCGGAUACUGGGCAGCUAGAGGACGGUAGAGGCGUGUGGAAUUCCGGGUGUAGUGGUGAAAUGCGUAGAGAUCCGGAGGAACACCAGUGGCGAAGGCGACACGCUGGGCCGUACCUGACGCUAAGACGCGACAGCAUGGGGAGCAAACAGGAUUAGAUACCCGCGUAUUCCCUGAGCGGGCUGGCAAGGCGCAU
This 449-nucleotide ribosomal RNA is filed under the name uncultured bacterium. RNAcentral's name for it is "bacterial SSU rRNA". It matches the Rfam family "Bacterial small subunit ribosomal RNA", at positions 355 to 825 of the family's 1533-position model. The record is from RNAcentral.